UAAAGUGCUGACAGUGCAGAUAGUGAUCCUCUCCGUGCUACCGCACUGUGGGUACUUGCUGC
This 62-nucleotide microRNA precursor is filed under the name Pteropus alecto (black flying fox). RNAcentral describes it as "microRNA pal-mir-106b precursor". Its record names the gene pal-mir-106b. It matches the Rfam family "mir-17 microRNA precursor family", at positions 11 to 80 of the family's 80-position model. Rfam says of the family: This family represents the microRNA (miRNA) precursor mir-17, family, which includes mir-20, mir-91, and mir-103. miRNAs are transcribed as ~70nt precursors (modelled here) and subsequently processed by the Dicer enzyme to give a ~22nt product. In this case the mature sequence comes from the 3' arm of the precursor. The extents of the hairpin precursors are not generally known and are estimated based on hairpin prediction. The record is from miRBase by way of RNAcentral. Lineage: Eukaryota; Metazoa; Chordata; Mammalia; Chiroptera; Pteropodidae.